GAUGAACGCUGGCGGCGUGCCUAAUACAUGCAAGUCGAGCGAAUGGAUUAAGAGCUUGCUCUUAUGAAGUUAGCGGCGGACGGGUGAGUAACACGUGGGUAACCUACCCAUAAGACUGGGAUAACUCCGGGAAACCGGGGCUAAUACCGGAUAACAUUUUGAACCGCAUGGUUCGAAAUUGAAAGGCGGCUUCGGCUGUCACUUAUGGAUGGACCCGCGUCGCAUUAGCUAGUUGGUGAGGUAACGGCUCACCAAGGCAACGAUGCGUAGCCGACCUGGGAGGGUGAUCGGCCACACUGGGACUGAGACACGGCCCAGACUCCUACGGGAGGCAGCAGUAGGGAAUCUUCCGCAAUGGACGAAAGUCUGACGGAGCAACGCCGCGUGAGUGAUGAAGGCUUUCGGGUCGUAAAACUCUGUUGAUAGGGAAGAACAAGUGCUAGUUGAAUAAGCUGGCACCUUGACGGUACCUAACCAGAAAGCCACGGCUAACUACGUGCCAGCAGCCGCCGUAA
RNAcentral lists this ribosomal RNA (515 nucleotides) under uncultured bacterium. RNAcentral's name for it is "partial 16S ribosomal RNA". It matches the Rfam family "Bacterial small subunit ribosomal RNA", at positions 28 to 523 of the family's 1533-position model. The record is from RNAcentral.